UACGAUGACUAAUAUAUCAUUAAGAGUAAUUAACUAUGAUCCAAGAAUAUGAUGCCUCUGAGAGUAUUAUACUACUUGGCACACUUGAAGAAGUGGAAAAAAUGGGGAUAUAAUUAUGUGUAUCUCUAAUGCAAGUGGCUCGAUGUUUAUCACUCUGUUCUACAAAAAUAAAUAAAAAAGUAUCAUAUUGGAACGCAAUUGAGGUAAGUAAAGCAUAAAUAUAUGCAUUUGUCCCCACUAUAUUGAUAUGCAUGUAUGAGAAUCUGAAACAAAUUAAAAAAGUCACCAAUUCGAAAGUUCCUAAAUCCUAACAACCAGGUGAGGAUUUUAAAUAGCAUGUCGAAGUGGAACAAAGAGGUGAAGAUGCAGCACAUCAGAGUAUUGAAUACUACGUACCAAGUAGUAGUAACUAAAAUCAGUGACAUGAAUAACAAUAAUUAAAUAGAGAGAGAGAGAGGGGUUGGUUGGUCGUUGAGAGUGGUAAAUGUGAAAAUUGAUGUAUGAUAGGAAAAAAAUGGACGCAUUAGGAGGAAAGUAAAUGAGAUAAAAUGAACCGCACUCUCAUGGUGAAGGGUAGCAAUUACUUCUGCUUAUUUGUGACUGGGUACUGC
Molecule: long non-coding RNA, 611 nt
Filed under: Cicer arietinum (chickpea)
Lineage: Eukaryota; Viridiplantae; Streptophyta; Magnoliopsida; Fabales; Fabaceae
Description: long non-coding RNA (CARI_LNC001658)
Source: RNAcentral